GGGGAAUCUUCCGCAAUGGACGAAAGUCUGACGGAGCAACGCCGCGUGAGUGAUGACGGCCUUCGGGUUGUAAAGCUCUGUUAAUCGGGACGAAAGGCCUUCUUGCGAAUAGUGAGAAGGAUUGACGGUACCGGAAUAGAAAGCCACGGCUAACUACGUGCCAGCAGCCGCGGUAAUACGUAGGUGGCAAGCGUUGUCCGGAAUUAUUGGGCGUAAAGCGCGCGCAGGCGGAUAGGUCAGUCUGUCUUAAAAGUUCGGGGCUUAACCCCGUGAUGGGAUGGAAACUGCCAAUCUAGAGUAUCGGAGAGGAAAGUGGAAUUCCUAGUGUAGCGGUGAAAUGCGUAGAUAUUAGGAAGAACACCAGUGGCGAAGGCGACUUUCUGGACGAAAACUGACGCUGAGGCGCGAAAGCCAGGGGAGCGAACGGGAUUAGAUACCCCGGUAGUCCUGGCCGUAAACGAUGGGUACUAGGUGUAGGAGGUAUCGACCCCUUCUGUGCCGGAGUUAACGCAAUAAGUACCCCGCCUGGGGAGUACGACCGCAAGGUUG
Molecule: ribosomal RNA, 549 nt
Filed under: uncultured bacterium
Lineage: Bacteria
Description: bacterial SSU rRNA
Rfam family: Bacterial small subunit ribosomal RNA
Source: RNAcentral